Molecule: ribosomal RNA, 408 nt
Filed under: uncultured bacterium
Lineage: Bacteria
Description: partial 16S ribosomal RNA
Rfam family: Bacterial small subunit ribosomal RNA
Source: RNAcentral
GACGAACGCUGGCGGCGUGCUUAACACAUGCAAGUCGAACGAAGUGGCGGACGGGUGAGUAACGCGUAAUCAACCUGCCCUUCGGAGGGGGACACCAGUUGGAAACGACUGCUAAUACCGAAUACUGAAGGGGGGGAUUGCGUUGGAUUAGCUAGGUGGAGGGGUAACGGCCCAACAAGGCGAUGAUCAGUAGCCGGUUGGGGAGGAUGAACGGCCCCAUUGGGACUGAGAACAGGCCCAGAACCCUAAGGGAGGCAGCAGGGGGGAAGUUUCCGAAAUGGACGAAAGUCUGAAGGAGCAACUGCGCGGGAUGGAUGACGGCCUUCGGGUUGUAAAGGUCUGUUAAGCGGGACGCGGUACCGGAAGAGAAAGCAACGGCUAACUACGUGCCAGCAGCCGCGGUAAUAC